RNAcentral lists this long non-coding RNA (537 nucleotides) under Mytilus galloprovincialis (Mediterranean mussel). The record is from RNAcentral. Lineage: Eukaryota; Metazoa; Mollusca; Bivalvia; Mytilida; Mytilidae.
UGCAGAAACAAACUUCACGAAAAUUAUGACCAAAUAAACAAUAAAACUUCAGAUAAUUCUACAUCUUAUUGUACUAUUUUAAAUACAAAUCGCUCGUCAAGUUACUGGUAAUAAUUAUUUGGAAAAAAAUUGAUUUUAGUUGAAAUGAUAGGACGUUUUUUUUUAAUAGAAAUCAUUUUUUUCCCUAAGCCUGAAAAUGCAGCAACUGGACGUCAUAGGUCAAACAGUGACGUCAUUUUAAUUAUGACGUCACGCCAGGCAUGCGAUACGGAUUUUGCUAUGCGAUACGGGGUAUGCGAUACAGGGUAGGUGAUACAGACUGGAAAAAAGAACCUUUAUUAGAUAUACAAAAUUGCUGUAUUUUGUACUAAAUAUAUGAUAAAUAAUGAUACAAAACAUAUAUAUCUAUCAGUACAAUUUCAAGAUCUGGCUGAAGGUUUAUUUGAGAUCUUAUAUCUGUUUUUGUCAUAUUUACAUAUUAAGUUGAUCCUUCAUAGCUCGGAUCAAACAGCAGGCAAAAAAGAUACAAAAAACCUG